GGUUAAGCGACUAAGCGUACACGGUGGAUGCCCUGGCAGUCAGAGGCGAUGAAGGACGUGCUAAUCUGCGAAAAGCGCCGGCGAGGUGAUAUGAACCCUUGACCCGGCGAUGUCCGAAUGGGGAAACCCAGUGCAAUUCGUUGCACUAUCGUUAACUGAAUACAUAGGUUAACGAGGCGAACCGGGGGAACUGAAACAUCUAAGUACCCCGAGGAAAAGAAAUCAACCGAGAUUCCCCCAGUAGCGGCGAGCGAACGGGGAGCAGCCCGGAGUCUGAAUCAGCUUGUGUGUUAGUGGAACGGUCUGGAAAGUCCGACGGUACAGGGUGAUAGUCCCGUACACGAAAACACACUUGCUGUGAACUCGAAGAGUAGGGCGGGACACGUGGUAUCCUGUCUGAAUAUGGGGGGACCAUCCUCCAAGGCUAAAUACUCCUGACUGACCGAUAGUGAACCAGUACCGUGAGGGAAAGGCGAAAAGAACCCCGGCGAGGGGAGUGAAAAGGAACCUGAAACCGUGUACGUACAAGCAGUGGGAGCCUCUUUAUGGGGUGACUGCGUACCUUUUGUAUAAUGGGUCAGCGACUUAUAUUCUGUAGCAAGGUUAACCGUAUAGGGGAGCCGAAGGGAAACCGAGUCUUAACUGGGCGUUAAGUUGCAGGGUAUAGACCCGA
RNAcentral lists this ribosomal RNA (673 nucleotides) under Enterobacter hormaechei. RNAcentral's name for it is "Large Subunit Ribosomal RNA; lsuRNA; LSU rRNA". It matches the Rfam family "Bacterial large subunit ribosomal RNA", at positions 1 to 718 of the family's 2925-position model. RNAcentral also lists the same sequence under 1 other name. The record is from RNAcentral. Lineage: Bacteria; Pseudomonadati; Pseudomonadota; Gammaproteobacteria; Enterobacterales; Enterobacteriaceae.